This 662-nucleotide ribosomal RNA is filed under the name uncultured marine bacterium. RNAcentral describes it as "bacterial SSU rRNA". It matches the Rfam family "Bacterial small subunit ribosomal RNA", at positions 819 to 1482 of the family's 1533-position model. The record is from RNAcentral.
GCUGUUAGGAGACUAUGUCUUUUAGUGGCGCAGCUAACGUUUUAAGUUGUCCGCCUGGGGAGUACGGCCGCAAGGCUAAAACUCAAAUGAAUUGACGGGGACCCGCACAAGCAGUGGAUCAUGUGGUUUAAUUCGAUGCAACGCGAAAAACCUUACCUACUCUUGACAUACUUGGAAGCUCUUGUAAUGAGAGUGUGCUUUUAAGAACCAAGAUACAGGUGCUGCAUGGCUGUCGUCAGCUCGUGUCGUGAGAUGUUCCGUUAAGUCGGAUAACGAGCGCAACCCUUACCCUUAUUUGCCAGCGAUUCGGUCGGGAACUAUAAGGGGACUGCCGGUGACAAACCGGAGGAAGGUGAGGACGACGUCAAGUCAUCAUGGCCCUUACGAGUAGGGCUACACACGUGAUACAAUGGGAGAGACAGACGGACGCUAAGCCGCGAGGUGGUGCUAAUCCUAGAAACUCUCUCGUAGUCCGGAUUGGAGUCUGCAACUCGACUCCAUGAAGUUGGAAUUGCUAGUAAUCGCGGAUCAGCAUGCCGCGGUGAAUACGUUCUCGGGUCUUGUGCACACCGCCCGUCACACCAUGGAAGUGGAUUGCACCAGAAGUAGAUAGUCUAACCUUAGGGAGGGCGUUUACCACGGUGUGCUUCAUGACUGGGGUG